GUGCCAGCCGCCGCGGUAAUACGAAGGACCCAAGCGUUAUCCGGAUUUAUUGGGUUUAAAGGGUGCGUAGGCGGAUUUGUAAGUCAGUGGUGAAAUCCUGCAGCUUAACUGCAGAACUGCCAUUGAAACUGCUUAUCUUGAGUACAUUUGAGGCGGGCGGAAUGUGUCAUGUAGCGGUGAAAUGCUUAGAUAUGACACAGAACACCGAUUGCGAAGGCAGCUCGCUAAACUGUAACUGACGCUGAUGCACGAAAGCGUGGGGAUCCAACAGGAUUAGAAACCCGUGUAGUCC
This 292-nucleotide ribosomal RNA is filed under the name uncultured bacterium. Its description in RNAcentral is "partial 16S ribosomal RNA". It matches the Rfam family "Bacterial small subunit ribosomal RNA", at positions 505 to 796 of the family's 1533-position model. The record is from RNAcentral.